GAUGAACGCUGGCGGCAUGCUUUACACAUGCAAGUCGGACGGGAAAUGGUGUUUCCAGUGGCGGACGGGUGAGUAGCGCGUAAGAACCUGCCCUUGGGAGGGGAACAACAGCUGGAAACGGCUGCUAAUACCCCGUAGGCUGAGGAGCGAAAGGAGGAAUCCGCCCAAGGAGGGGCUCGCGUCUGAUUAGCUAGUUGGUGAGGUAAUAGCUUACCAAGGCCGUGAUCAGUAGCUGGUCCGAGAGGAUGAUCAGCCACACUGGGACUGAGACAAGGCCCAGACUCCUACGGGAGGCAGCAGUGGGGAAUUUUCCGCAAUGGGCGAAAGCCUGACGGAGCAAUGCCGCGUGGAGGUAAAAGGCCUACGGGUCAUGAACUUCUUUUCCUGGAGAAGAAACAAUGACGGUAGCUGGGGAAUAAGCAUCGGCUAACUCUGUG
Molecule: ribosomal RNA, 437 nt
Filed under: uncultured bacterium
Lineage: Bacteria
Description: partial 16S ribosomal RNA
Rfam family: Bacterial small subunit ribosomal RNA
Source: RNAcentral